CCCUGUACGCAGCACGCAGUACCACCUGUGCCCUCCAACAACUAAGGGCUUUCUCCCCAGAUCAGGCUCCUCAUGGGCACUCCUUCAGGAGAUUUCGCUCCCGAGGGCUUCCAAAUCUUCACCCCAACGGGUACUGAAGGGCAGCCCCAAAGCUGAACUGAUAAACCGCAGGAAGCUUAGACUGGGGAGAGUGAUUCGCCCAGGGUAAGAGGUGACCUUCAGAUUCAAACCCAGAUGGUCUGACCGUAGGACCAACCCACACUCUUAGUCCUCCACUGCAUUCGACUCUGAUUGUAUGACUCACUCUGGAGAGACCAAAGGACAUUAUUUCCUGCUAAAAUACAAUCUUCUGCUGGGAAACUUCAUCUUCCCCUAGAAGGCAAAGGCAUGAAGUAAUUGGCCACAGUAGGGACAUUGCUCUGGACUGAAUGUUGUGUCCCUCCCAAGUCCAUGUGUUGAAGACCUAAUUCUCAAGGGUAGAGCCCCUCGGAGGAGAUUGCUGGAAGUUGAAGGCGUUGUCAGAUCACUUCCCGAAGAGCUUGCCGCAGCUCAUCCUCCCCGCAGUGUCUGACGCGUCCGCCACUCUCACCAGCACCGGAUAGUAACCAUCCUUUUUUUCUGUCUUUCCUAUUUGCUAGUGAGAUGCAUAAAAACGUGGUGUUCAACGUUGCCUUGACCUUUACUUUUC
RNAcentral lists this long non-coding RNA (688 nucleotides) under Equus caballus (horse). RNAcentral's name for it is "lncRNA (ENSECAG00000048636.1)". Lineage: Eukaryota; Metazoa; Chordata; Mammalia; Perissodactyla; Equidae. The record is from RNAcentral.